GACGAACGCUGGCGGCGUGCCUAAUACAUGCAAGUAGGACGCAGUUGCGAACGGGUGAGUAACGCGUAGGUAACUGCCUCUUAGAGGGGGAUAACUAUUGGAAACGAUAGCCAAUACCGCAUACUAGUAGAUGGACCUGCGUUGUAUUAGCUAGUAGGUAGGGUAAUGGCCUACCUAGGCGCCGAUACAUACCCGACCUGGGAGGGUGAGGGGCCACACUUGGACUGAGACACGGCCCCGAAUCCUACGGGAGGCAGCAGUAGGGAAUCUUCAGCAAUGGGGGGAACCCUGACCGAGCAACGCCGCGUGAAUGAAGAAGGUUUUCGGAUCGUAGAGCUCUGUUGUUGAGGAAGCGGUACUUAACCAGAAAGGGACGGCUAACUACGUGCCAGCCGCCGCGGUAAUUC
This 407-nucleotide ribosomal RNA is filed under the name uncultured bacterium. RNAcentral's name for it is "partial 16S ribosomal RNA". It matches the Rfam family "Bacterial small subunit ribosomal RNA", at positions 28 to 526 of the family's 1533-position model. The record is from RNAcentral.